This is a small nucleolar RNA of Vicia villosa (hairy vetch), 106 nucleotides long. Lineage: Eukaryota; Viridiplantae; Streptophyta; Magnoliopsida; Fabales; Fabaceae. The record is from RefSeq and is a predicted model, not a curated record.
AGCCCAUGAAGAUGGCAUAACCUUAACAUUUUCUUAAAUCUCCCCCACACUUCGUAAAGGGAUUCUCUAUCUUUCUGAGUAAAACUUAUAAUUUGGUUUCUCCGUU